This 253-nucleotide ribosomal RNA is filed under the name uncultured bacterium. RNAcentral's name for it is "partial 16S ribosomal RNA". It matches the Rfam family "Bacterial small subunit ribosomal RNA", at positions 524 to 776 of the family's 1533-position model. The record is from RNAcentral.
UACGGGGGGUGCGAGCGUUGUCCGGAAUCACUGGGCGUAAAGGGCGCGUAGGUGGUUUGAUAAGGGUGUGGUGAAAGUCCGGGGCUCAACCCCGGAUCUACCGUGCCGACUGUCAAACUCGAGGGCUGUAGAGGCAGACGGAAUUCCGGGUGUAGCGGUGAAAUGCUUAGAUAUGACAUAGAACACCAAUUGCGAAGGCAGCUAACUACGCGAAUAUUGACGCUGAGGCACGAAAGCGUGGGGAUCAAACAGG